GACGAACGCUGGCGGCGUGCUUAACACAUGCAAGUCGAGCGGUAAGGCCCUUUCGGGGGUACACGAGCGGCGAACGGGUGAGUAACACGUGGGUGACCUGCCCUCAGCUCUGGGAUAAGCCUGGGAAACUGGGUCUAAUACUGGAUAUGACUCCACGGUGCAUGUCGUGGGGUGGAAAGCCUUGUGCGGCUGAGGAUGGGCCCGCGGCCUAUCAGCUUGUUGGUGGGGUGAGGCCUACCAAGGCGACGACGGGUAGCCGGCCUGAGAGGGCGACCGGCCACACUGGGACUGAGACACGGCCCAGACUCCUACGGGAGGCAGCAGUGGGGAAUCUUGCGCAAUGGGCGAAAGCCUGACGCAGCGACGCCGCGUGAGGGAUGACGGCCUGGUUGUAA
RNAcentral lists this ribosomal RNA (395 nucleotides) under uncultured bacterium. RNAcentral describes it as "bacterial SSU rRNA". It matches the Rfam family "Bacterial small subunit ribosomal RNA", at positions 28 to 428 of the family's 1533-position model. The record is from RNAcentral.